GAUGAACGCUGGCGGCGUGCCUAAUACAUGCAAGUCGAGCGAACGGACGAGAAGCUUGCUUCUCUGAUGUUAGCGGCGGACGGGUGAGUAACACGUGGAUAACCUACCUAUAAGACUGGGAUAACUUCGGAAAACCGGAGCUAAUACGGGAUGAUAUUUUGAACCGCAUGGUUAAAAAGUGAAAGACGGUCUUGCUGUCCCUUAUAGAUGGAUCCGCGCUGCAUUAGCUAGUUGGUAAGGUAACGGCUUACCAAGGCAACGAUGCAUAGCCGACCUGAGAGGGUGAUCGGCCACACUGGAACUGAGACACGGUCCAGACUCCUACGGGAGGCAGCAGUAGGGAAUCUUCCGCAAUGGGCGAAAGCCUGACGGAGCAACGCCGCGUGAGUGAUGAAGGUCUUCGGAUCGUAAAACUCUGUUAUUAGGGAAGAACAUAUGUGUAAGUAACUGUGCACAUCUUGACGGUACCUAAUCAGAAAGCCACGGCUAACUACGUG
Molecule: ribosomal RNA, 497 nt
Filed under: uncultured bacterium
Lineage: Bacteria
Description: partial 16S ribosomal RNA
Rfam family: Bacterial small subunit ribosomal RNA
Source: RNAcentral